Molecule: ribosomal RNA, 460 nt
Filed under: uncultured bacterium
Lineage: Bacteria
Description: partial 16S ribosomal RNA
Rfam family: Bacterial small subunit ribosomal RNA
Source: RNAcentral
CCUACGGGAGGCAGCAGUGAGGAAUAUUGGUCAAUGGACGAAAGUCUGAACCAGCGAUGCCGCGUGCAGGAAGACGGCUCUAUGAGUUGUAAACUGCUUUUGUACAAGGGUAAACCUGAAUACGUGUAUUCAGCUGAAAGUACUGUACGAAUAAGGCUCGGCUAACUACGUGCCAGCAGCCGCUGUAAUACGGAGGAUCCAAGCGUUAUCCGGAUUUAUUGGGUUUAAAGGGUGCGUAGGCGGAUUGAUAAGUUAGAGGUGAAAUGUCCGGGCUCAACUCGGGAACUGCCUCUAAUACUGUUGAACUAGAGAGUAGAUGCGGUAGGCGGAAUGUAUGGUGUAGCGGUGAAAUGCUUAGAGAUCAUACAGAACACCGAUGGCGAAGGCAGCUUACCAAUCUAUAUCUGACGUUGAGGCACGAAAGCGUGGGGAGCAAACAGGAUUAGAUACCCCAGUAGUC